This 274-nucleotide ribosomal RNA is filed under the name uncultured bacterium. Its description in RNAcentral is "partial 16S ribosomal RNA". It matches the Rfam family "Bacterial small subunit ribosomal RNA", at positions 523 to 796 of the family's 1533-position model. The record is from RNAcentral.
AUACGGAGGGUCCAAGCGUUAUGCGGAAUCAUUGGGUUUAAAGGGUCCGUAGGCGGACAAUUAAGUCAGAGGUGAAAGCCCACAGCUCAACUGUGGAACUGCCUUUGAUACUGGUUGUCUUGAAUUAUAGUGAAGUAGAUAGAAUAUGUAGUGUAGCGGUGAAAUGCAUAGAUAUUACAUAGAAUACCGAUUGCGAAGGCAGUCUACUAACUAUAUAUUGACGCUGAUGGACGAAAGCGUGGGGAGCGAACAGGAUUAGAAACCCUAGUAGUCC